This 1398-nucleotide ribosomal RNA is filed under the name uncultured bacterium. RNAcentral's name for it is "bacterial SSU rRNA". It matches the Rfam family "Bacterial small subunit ribosomal RNA". The record is from RNAcentral.
AGAGUUUGAUCCUGGCUCAGGAUGAACGCUAGCUACAGGCUUAACACAUGCAAGUCGAGGGGCAGCAUGGUCUUAGCUUGCUAAGGCCGAUGGCGACCGGCGCACGGGUGAGUAACACGUAUCCAACCUGCCGUCUACUCUUGGACAGCCUUCUGAAAGGAAGAUUAAUACAAGAUGGCAUCAUGAGUCCACAUGUUCACAUGAUUAAAGGUAUUCCGGUAGACGAUGGGGAUGCGUUCCAUUAGAUAGUAGGCGGGGUAACGGCCCACCUAGUCUUCGAUGGAUAGGGGUUCUGAGAGGAAGGUCCCCCACAUUGGAACUGAGACACGGUCCAAACUCCUACGGGAGGCAGCAGUGAGGAAUAUUGGUCAAUGGGCGAGAGCCUGAACCAGCCAAGUAGCGUGAAGGAUGACUGCCCUAUGGGUUGUAAACUUCUUUUAUAAAGGAAUAAAGUCGGGUAUGCAUACCCGUUUGCAUGUACUUUAUGAAUAAGGAUCGGCUAACUCCGUGCCAGCAGCCGCGGUAAUACGGAGGAUCCGAGCGUUAUCCGGAUUUAUUGGGUUUAAAGGGAGCGUAGAUGGAUGUUUAAGUCAGUUGUGAAAGUUUGCGGCUCAACCGUAAAAUUGCAGUUGAUACUGGAUAUCUUGAGUGCAGUUGAGGCAGGCGGAAUUCGUGGUGUAGCGGUGAAAUGCUUAGAUAUCACGAAGAACUCCGAUUGCGAAGGCAGCCUGCUAAGCUGCAACUGACAUUGAGGCUCGAAAGUGUGGGUAUCAAACAGGAUUAGAUACCCUGGUAGUCCACACGGUAAACGAUGAAUACUCGCUGUUUGCGAUAUACAGCAAGCGGCCAAGCGAAAGCGUUAAGUAUUCCACCUGGGGAGUACGCCGGCAACGGUGAAACUCAAAGGAAUUGACGGGGGCCCGCACAAGCGGAGGAACAUGUGGUUUAAUUCGAUGAUACGCGAGGAACCUUACCCGGGCUUAAAUUGCAGAUGAAUUACGGUGAAAGCCGUAAGCCGCAAGGCAUCUGUGAAGGUGCUGCAUGGUUGUCGUCAGCUCGUGCCGUGAGGUGUCGGCUUAAGUGCCAUAACGAGCGCAACCCUUGUUGUCAGUUACUAACAGGUCAUGCUGAGGACUCUGACAAGACUGCCAUCGUAAGAUGUGAGGAAGGUGGGGAUGACGUCAAAUCAGCACGGCCCUUACGUCCGGGGCUACACACGUGUUACAAUGGGGGGUACAGAGGGCCGCUACCACGCGAGUGGAUGCCAAUCCCAAAAACCUCUCUCAGUUCGGACUGGAGUCUGCAACCCGACUCCACGAAGCUGGAUUCGCUAGUAAUCGCGCAUCAGCCACGGCGCGGUGAAUACGUUCCCGGGCCUUGCACACACCGCCCGUCAAG